Molecule: transfer RNA, 69 nt
Filed under: Bugula neritina
Lineage: Eukaryota; Metazoa; Bryozoa; Gymnolaemata; Cheilostomatida; Bugulidae
Description: tRNA-Lys
Source: RNAcentral
UGAUCGGUAGCUUAAAAAAAGCAUUAGACUUUUAAUCUAACUAUGUGACAAACUAUAACUCCCAAUCAA